GCUAUCUCAAAUAUCAUAUCCGAUUGUGAUAGCACGGCAGAUUAUUCGAAUGUCGGUUCAUUCAUUGGAGUUGGAACUGGAUCUGUGACAGUUACUCUUGUUGCUGUUGGGAUAUUCAUUAUAAUACGACGAUACCUAAGACAUGGGCAUAUAAGACAGCGCAAACCAGAAGACGCACAUGAGUUAACAGAUAACAUACACGAUAACUUCAAAACAACUCCUGCCUUGCCGAAUGUACAAACAAAUACAAAUGCUGGCUAUGAAAAUACAUCAUUUCCAGUAUAUGAAGAAUUAAAAGAGAGUAACAAAGAUUCAAGUACGUAUGACAGUAUUGAUGGUACCAGCACCAGUUAGACAGAUCACAUUUUUGUUGUUCAUAAUAAUUGGACGUGUGUGUCACUUUUGUGUACAUAAGCAGAAAUCAAUACCUGCAUAAUACGAUAAGAAUCUUUCGAAAUAUCAUUUUUUACUCCCUGAUCAUGUACAUAUAAUAAUCUUGCAACCAAAUAUUCCUAUUAAGGUACCGGACCCGUAAUAGAGUACCGUCUUUCGAAGAGUAUUCAAUUCCUACCAUAAUCCAACUUUGACUGCAAUUUUCAGGGGGCGUAGGUUCAAGUCCCAGUGGGACCAACAGUUUUUUUCCAUAUUUUUCUUUUUUCUAAUAAGUUUUUACUCCUUUUGAGACUUACUAUGGAUGUAUUGUACAUAAGUGGCAAAUAUUCACUUUAUAAGCGAUUUCUUGCUGUUCAAAGUGAAUUUACCUCUGAAUCAGGAGGGGUAGAGUUAGACAUCUUUAAAAAUACUGAGUUACAUGCGGUAAAAGUUCUCUAUUUUGCCUUCAUUCUUUAGAUUACAUAUUGUGGAAGAAAUGCAGGUAUGUUUUACUUCUGCCCCAAGGUUAUUUUUUAAUGAAGUGAGCAAAAUUCAAAACAGACCCACAGGACUCGACCUUAAUUUUUCAAUGUUGGAGUUAGAAUUCUGUCUCAUUAAAUCUGUUUACUUGAGGCACCCUAGAAAAAAAAGAUUUUUAUAGUAUUAUUUUGUGUUUUAUAAUUGUUUAACAAUAGUUUGAUGUUUCUUUUAUCAAAAUUAAUGCUGUAAUGAUUUCUCUGCAAACGUUUUAGAUAGUGGCCAUCACAUUGAAAUCUGUGUCUACUUGAGCUUGAGAAAAUACCAUAAAUUAUACAAAAUUUACAAAAAAUGGCAUUGUAAAAGUUGUUUAAAAUUUGCAACACAGUGCGAAACAUGGUCAGCUUUAAGAAUACACCAAGCAAAUAACAUUACUUUUAGGGGUCCAAUAUCUUAAAUUGACAAUGAUUAAUGUGUGAUAAAUGUUAAAACAGACAGAAUUAUGAAUGUCGCACCAAACUCAUGAACUUGUAAAUUAUUGUAUUCCUGUUGAUUUGUUUCUUAUCUUUGUGACUAAGCUUGAUAUUUGUGCUAUCAGAUGUUUUGUUUUUUGCUUUUUCACGCUCUUACAAUCUUCCAAUCAUCAAACAAAUUAUGCCAUUAAGUCUGUUAUUAUUUUAUGAUUCUUUUCCUGUCUACGUAUAUAUGUAAUUAUGUUUAUUGAUUUGAACAAAAAUGUUGUUUGCUAAAUAUUUUUUUCGUGUAAUUUAUAAGUUAUUUUUCAUAAAAAUGAACAUCAAUAGAACAUAAUAAGUCUACGAAAUUAUUUGAAUUAAAACAGAUAUUAUUUGUUUUGUUAAUGACUGUUUUUAAUUCUUUAAUUUAUUUCAGGAAACCAUUUUCAUUAUAUCAGUUUUCACUUCCUUCUAUUGCUAUUUCUCAAUAACUGAGGUGCAUUUUGAAUAAAUGAAGGAAUUCUAAAGAUUCAUUUAAACUUUGAGACAAAUUUCAUACUGUUACUGUUUCAUAAAUUAUUAAUUCAAGCCUAGAUGUAUGCUGUUUUAAAGGGAAUAAAGUACUUAUGACAUUUUCUAACAGUUUUGUUAGGGUUAAAAUUCUUUUAUUGACUGUUAAAAUCAAUGAGAGCUAAAGAUACAUGCGAUCAUGUAAAUAUUUCUGGACUGUACAUAUGGGUUUUAUUGUAGAAAUCUGACAUUUAAGGAAGCCAUCCAGUAGUCUGACGUAUGUUCGAUGGUUUUAUCCAGAUGUAGGCCCAUACGUGUAAUAAUGCUCUGUGGGGCACCUGAGUCUUCCGCGACCACCAAAAGCUUGAAAGUCAUCGUAUGAGUUAUAAAUAUAUCUGUGUGAAGGUAAACCCGUCUCAAAAAAUACUGUAACUGUUAAACAUGUUCUUGAUCAGUUUGGAUGAGAUUUCUUAACCUGUGUCUCAACCGUAUUAAACCUCAUAGCAUCUUAACGUAUUCUUUUCACUAGCUGCUCACAUCGUAUUGCGUAUAAAACACUGUCUUCAAACUAAACACUAAAUAAUUGCUUUCCUAAGAGUGACUGAAUAUUGAUAUAAUUUGAUGUACUUACUGGACCCGUAAUGACAUUCGACAAUUUCCGUAAGAUUAUAUAUUCCCGAUUUCGACGUUCUCUGGCUGUUUGUACUUAUGAACUAAUAAACCAUAUUAGCAGCCGGAGAAUGGCCGAAAUAGCAGUAUGAGAAUACAUAAAAUAAUUCGUUACGGGUCCUUUACUUAAAGAGAGUGUGUACGAAUAUAUUUUUCAAUCAUGGACAACGUUCUUUUGAACGUAAAUUGCCGAGUCCUUAACUUAAAGAGAAUUUGUAUGGAUAUGUACGAAACCUUUCUGUAAAGAAUGCCAAAGUUAUUGUUUUUGUAGUUUAGGAUCUAUAUCUGCAUGCUAUAAAAACGUGUAUUUGUGAUAUUGAAGCUAUAUAAAUGAAAACAUAUUCUUUUCGUCUGUAAAGAGCAUUGAUGUACUCAAUUUAACCCAUAGCCUGUUGGCGGCAAGUGAUUUUGUCUUUGCGACCAGUCCAGACCAAGAUCAGCCUGCACAUCCGUGCAAUCUGAUCAUGGUCUGCACUGUUCGCCAUUCAAUCAGUAUCGUUUUGAUAAGCACCUUUUUAUUUUCGUUACUGGUAUUGUCUGAAUUGAAAGAUGGACUUGUUCAUUGUAGAAAGUUCGCAGGCUAAGGGUUAAUUAUAUCAAAUAUCAUUCUGCCAGUUAUAAGAAAAUUCGAAUAAGAUGUUUGAUCCUUGGUUUAUGUAAAUAAAUAUUAUCUUCA
Molecule: long non-coding RNA, 3159 nt
Organism: Mercenaria mercenaria
Lineage: Eukaryota; Metazoa; Mollusca; Bivalvia; Venerida; Veneridae
Exons: 4
Source: RefSeq, a predicted model, not a curated record